RNAcentral lists this ribosomal RNA (520 nucleotides) under uncultured bacterium. RNAcentral describes it as "bacterial SSU rRNA". It matches the Rfam family "Bacterial small subunit ribosomal RNA", at positions 29 to 518 of the family's 1533-position model. The record is from RNAcentral.
AACGAACGCUGGCGACGUGGAUAAGACAUGCAAGUCGUGCGGAAGUUUACUGGUAGCAAUAUCGGGGAAACUUUAGCGGCGGAAGGGUGCGUAACGCGUGGGCAAUUUUCCCAAAAAGCCCGGAAUAACUCCGAGAAAUCGGAGCUAAUGCCGGAUGUGACUCCUGAGCGGCAUCGUUUGGGAUUUAAGGCCGGGGACCGUAAGGCCUGGCACUUUUGGAUGAGCCCGCGGCCUAUCAGCUAGUUGGCGGGGUAACGGCCCACCAAGGCUAAGACGGGUAGCUGGUCUGAGAGGACGACCAGCCACACUGGAACUGAGACACGGUCCAGACACCUACGGGUGGCAGCAGUCGAGAAUUUUUCACAAUGGGGGAAACCCUGAUGGAGCGACGCCGCGUGGGGGAUGAAUGGCUUCGGCCCGUAAGCCCCUGUCAUUUGCGAGCCAAAUGUAACAACCUAAUACGUUGUUGCUUGAUAGUAGCGAAAGAGGAAGGGACGGCUAACUCUGUGCCAGCAGCCGC